CUCUUCUACAUAAAUGUAGAUGCCACCAGGUGAAUGACUGGACUCCAACUCCCGGCGGCGACACCACCCCUCCAUGUGGUUCCUCACCUCCUAAAGGAGCUACCUAAAGAGGAAACCCAGAGCUGGUGAAAAUCUGAGGCUGUAUUUAUUAGGAGGUUCUGGAGCUCUUUCUGCAUUUCCUUGCUGAUCCCAGGUUACUUGAAACCUUGAUGAGCUGCUUUAGCCUGGUCCCAUCCCUGCCAGAAAUCCAUGACUUGGACCAACACACCGUGGUUUCAACACCGUGGAAAUGUCAUUGAAACUCUUCUACCAUGGGAUAACUGGGAGCAGGAUCAGCCUCCUGGUCCUCAGAGACACCACUUCAUUAAUUAAAUAAACCAGUGACCUCUGAGACAGGAGAGAAAACACGAAUGGAGAGAGGAGAGUGGGUUUUCUCUCCACCGCGUCUCUGCUUCUCCAGUGCUUCCUUCUCCAGCUGCCCAGUGAGGCUGAGCUCCUCCCAGCAGCUCAGGAAACUGCUCCUGCUGGUGAUGGAGUGAGCACAAAGAGCGGAUGGAGCUGCUGCUGCCCAGAAUGGGAGCCCCAAAGGACCUCGUUGGCUCAAGGAGGAGAUAUUUGCUCACACCAGCAUAACCUCUCUCCACUGUCAGUAUUUCCUUUGGUCGUGCUGGGACUUCUGAGGACAGCCCGGGCUGUAUAUUUGCUCACACCAGCGUAACCUCUCUCCACUGUCAGUAUUUCCUUUGGUCGAGCUGGGACUUCUGAGGACAGCCCGGGCUGUUUGAGGACAUCCUGGG
RNAcentral lists this long non-coding RNA (797 nucleotides) under Calidris pugnax (ruff). RNAcentral's name for it is "lncRNA (ENSCPUG00000004153.1)". The record is from RNAcentral. Lineage: Eukaryota; Metazoa; Chordata; Aves; Charadriiformes; Scolopacidae.